AUGGCUACAGACAAGACUAGGCUUGCAGAAGAGAAGUUGGCUUCCGUCAACAAACUUGAAGAAGAAAACACUAAUCUGAAAGCUGCUCUUGACGUGACCAACCAAGAAGUCACUCGACUGAAGAAUGCCAAUAUGGUCCUGGACGACAAAGCUGGCGAACUGGCAGGAAAGAAGAAUGACUUGGAGCUUUAUCUGGGAGGGCUCGCCAAAAAACUGUUCCUCAUGCUCGAAGAAUUCUGCCAAAACUUUGAAGAGGAGACUAGUCGAGUGGAGACUGGCUUGGAUCCCAUCAAUUCUCUGAUGAAGGAUUAA
This 312-nucleotide ribosomal RNA is filed under the name Triticum aestivum (bread wheat). RNAcentral describes it as "partial small subunit ribosomal RNA". Lineage: Eukaryota; Viridiplantae; Streptophyta; Magnoliopsida; Poales; Poaceae. The record is from RNAcentral.